This 7426-nucleotide long non-coding RNA is filed under the name Sorghum bicolor (sorghum). RNAcentral's name for it is "long non-coding RNA (SBIC_LNC018158)". Lineage: Eukaryota; Viridiplantae; Streptophyta; Magnoliopsida; Poales; Poaceae. The record is from RNAcentral.
UAGCCUUUGAGCCUCAUGAACCCUAUGUUAUUCUUGUUGAGUACGAGAUGUACUUACGCUUGCCUUUAUAUUUUAUUUGGAUAAAAAUCCCGGAUGGGUACCAGAUUGCAAGCUUGGAAAAGAGUUUAGGCUUGUGCUCAACCAGUCAGUUGUCCCUGUGGAUUUGGAGCUUUCGCCUGAAGAACGGAGUGUCUUUCCGCUGUUUGCUAUCUAAGGUUAUAUCUUUUAUACUAAGUUCGUUACAUAUAAGCAUUGUCUAUUGAUAUUACCCCUAUUUGUGGCUAUAUGUGAGAUUUGACUUCCUGGGCUCACAUAUGGUGUGUAUCUGGUUUUGUUCUUAAAACUGGGUGCUACAAAGUGGUAUCAAAGCAAUGCUGACUGUAGGACGCAAGCCUAGUUAGAAAUUGGUCAUCUUAAGGUUUUGAAAUUGUUAUAACACCCUCGCUCUAUAAACCUUGGUAUUUUCCUCUAUACUAUAUCUCUACCCUUGCUAUUCCUUCCUACCUUGUUGCUUAUUUGAAAAAUCUUUGUUCUCAUCUUUACUCCUUGAUUUGGUAUGCUUUUAGAAUCUUCUCUUAUCUCUUCUUGUGUCUUCGAAAUAGAACUUUUAGGAUCUUUGCCCUUACUAUGAAGAGAACGAUAGUAUCGCAAGUUGCGUGAAGUGUGAACCUCUAAUGCUUAAUUGGUUGUUAUUAUGUUUAUGCUUGAUUUGGAUCUUUGUAAUGUGUGCAAUGAUUUUGUGGGAUUUCUCCAUAAUAUCAUUUAGUUUAUAGGCCUAAGGCAUAAGGAGUAGUGAAAUAAGUAGUUGGGUUUGGUUAUAUCCUGUUUCUGUUCCUUGCUGAUUUCUGGAGCAGUCUGCAAUAAUAUUGGUAUAUCUCAAGUUCUCAUCGUGAAAAGUUUGUCACCUUUUUCUGGGAACAACUAGAUUUCAAGAUCUUUGUCUGACCUCAAGAAUCACCCCAAUAGCUAUUCUGGAAUUGGAGUUAUGAAAAUCACAAGUUGAUGCAGUUGCGCUGUCCAGAAUCUGGACCAGUUUUGGGAACAUGCUGUUUGAGACAAAUAUAACUAUAGAAUUGGGAAAAGUGUUCUAUAGAAACGUUAUAGAAAAUUUGCUAAGAUUUCCAAAGGUAUAAGCUGGAACUUAUUUGGAUAAUGAGAACCUGAGAUAUGAUAUUUACAAUUGGAUGUUUGUGUUCUGUAUCAAAGUCUGGACAGUUUGGGUAUUCCCUAUUUUCAGCCAAGUUAAAUUUAGAAUCUGGGAAAAAGUUGUAUACUAAAGUUUUAGAGGAUUUCAUAAGCUUUUCAACAAUAUAAGGAUCGUCUCCAUAUGAUUUAUGUAGCUCGAGAUAUGACAGCUGCAAGUUACUGCAUAGGUGCUGAGACACUGUCAGGAGGAAUAUUAUGUAUGGCUGUUUUACCUAAGUUUCAAGACAGAACCUAAGGAAGUCUUCUAUAUGAAAGUUGUGGUGAAUUUCAUAAGUUUUCUAACGAUAUAAGCUACAACUCUAUUGGAUUCACAGAAUAAGGGUUAUGUCUGUUUUACUACGCUGGUGUUUUCAUAUCACAAGAAAAUUUCAGGAUACUUGUUUGUUCUCUUGCACAUAAGUUCAUUGGGAUGUCAGAAGGUCUUAAUGCUAGUCAACUUGACUGGAAAAAAGUGCAAGCUACCUUCCUUGUGUCCCCUAGUUGACCUUUCUUAAGAGGGUAGUCUUAUCAAAGGAGUUACAGGGAGAAGUAAUGGUUAACAUUGGAUCAUCGAUAAAGACCUCAAGUGUUUGGAAAAUUUGGUUUGAUACAGGAAAUUGUUCCAUUGAAGUGUGAUAAUAUGGAUGGAGGUAUAGGUCAUUGCUGGUACUCAUAGCUUGGAAGUGGUGCUUAUGAGAAUCAGGUGACACCAAAGGCUACAAAGUUAUACAUGGAAUAUGAGAGCUAGUCCAUACUGUGCCCCGACCUAUCUCAUCUUAUGGGGUAGUACCUUGAUAUGAUAGAUUAAUGCCCUUUCAAUUUACCAUGAAGAGAGAAGUUGUCUCUGGAGAUAUCCCAUGAUUAUAAUCUAUCCUGGCUCAAGUUAGUGAAAUUGGUCACUUGACAACUUAGGAAGUGGAUAUGCUACAUCUACUGUUGGUUCUACGGAGACUCAAAAGACUUCAUUGCUAAAGAGAGCAUGACCAGUUUGUUCUAGUUGAUGGAAGUUCUCAUCUAGGAGAUGUCAUCUUUAAUGAUGGACUUAAGAAAGUUAAAAAUGCAAGAGUUGGAAACCACCAAAGGAAAUUGAAUGAGACUUAGAGUUUUAUAGAUAUGGCAAGAGGCUAUCAUAGGUUUGCUGGGGCCAAAGUGAUCUUGACAUAAGAGUGAAUAAGAGAUUGACUUGGAAUGAUAAGAUUCUAUCAGUGGUUCACUGAAGGUGUUGUAAAGAUUGGUAAAUAGAGUUCCUCUAUUCCAUCGAGACCUUAGAUGUGCUCCAUACAAGAAAAGUAGUGGCUGGUGCAUAAGUCAACUAAGUGGGUUGGAUUAACUGACAUGAUGUGGAGGUAUCCAUAGUGGAGCAUGGAGAUACUAUCUUCUUGGUUAUAAGAGUGAUAUCUACGUAGAAUGUAAGAGACUAAAGGGCAUCUUUAGGAAGUUGGAUUUGAGCUGGUCACAUCAUUGAUGGAUUUGAGUGAAUCAAGAGUUAUGACUAGGAAAAGUGAUAUCACUUGAAUGAGAAAAAAAGCCUUUACGAAUGCUCAGAGCAUAAAAGGUGUGCUAGAGGAGUUCAAAUAACACCAAGUUUUGAGGAGUUCAGUGUUGAACUAGAGUGAUGUCACUAGUACUGCCAAAGGAGCUCUAUUAAUUACUCAUUUGAGAACCACAGGAACUGAAAAGAUUACUUAGAAGAUAUGUUGUGAGCUUGUGUAUUGCAGUAUGGUACAAAGAGUUUACCGUAUGCGAAGUUUUCUUAGAACAACAGUUAGAGCCUUCGGUGGGAGCCUUUUGAAAGCUUGCAUGGAUGUAAGUGUAGAACCCUAUUGAUUUGGAAUCAAACGUGAGAACACAAGUGUUUGGGCUAGAUGUUCUAAGAGAUGCAGAACUGCAAGAGUGUUCACGGAUGACUUUAAGGGUGGCACAGUCUCAACAGAAGAUAUAUGCUGACAACCGGAGAAAAGAAUAAGCUUUUGAAGUAGAAGACUAUAUGUAUUUGAAGGUGUCACCUAUGAGAAGUGUGAGAAGAUUUAAUAUGAAGGAAUGGUUAGCACCAAGGUAUAUCUGGCCUUUCAAAGUGUUAGAAAGAUGGGGUGAAGUGGCUAUUAGAGCAUCUGAAAGUUUGGGAGGAAUGCAUGAUGUUUUCCAUGUGUCUUAACUCAAGAAGUGUUUGUGUGUGCCAUAAUAGCAGAUAUCGUUAGAAGAAUUGACUAUUAAAGGGGAUCUUACUUAUGAAGAAUAUCCGGUAAAAAUUUUGGAAAUAGCAGAAAGAGUUACAGGAAGUCGAGUAGUCAAGAUGUGUAAAGUUCAAUGGAAUCGAUAUUACCGAAGAAGAGGCUAAUUGGGAAAGAGAAGAGGAUCUAAGAAAAACAUACCCGCAGUGGUUUGAGUAAGCACCAACUGAAUCUCGAGGACGAGAUUCAUCUUAAGAGGGGUAGAAUUGUAACACUCUAAAAUUUGCUCCUUUGAAGUAGAGUUUAAAAAAAUUAAUUAUGUAUUUUUUGUGUUCAUGAAAAUGUAGGAAAAAUAAUAUUUUUUAAAUUAAAAUUUAUCAUAAGGCUUAGCAAUAUUGUUGUGCAUACAUGCUGGUGCAUAAGAUUUAAUGUAAUGUUUGCUUGAUGCUCCUUCGUGUGUUGUGAGUGAGCAAAGUUUUAAAAAUACGUUUAGUAGAACGAUCGUCCUUGACCAGUACGUCUUUAUCUUUAUCCACAAUCAAAUUCUUUAUUUCUCAGCUCAAGUUUUUAUUAUGAGCUUCCUAAAAUCUUUUCUUUGUCACCUAAAUUCCUUCUUUUAGUUUCUCGUUCAUCAAGCACUAUCUGCGAUCUUCUUGGUAAUUUUCCAGCUUUUUGCUGGAACUUGUUCCCACUGCUGUGAGCAUAAUCUAGAUGCUCCAUAUUAUCUUAUCAGGCGCUCCAAAUACUUUAUUUGAGUUCCUCAUGUUCUAUAAUGUCUCUGAGAAUUUUCUCCGAAUUUUCAGAGCUUUCGGAAUAUUUUUCAUAGCUUAAAUAAUAAUUCUAGAUUUUUUUGGAAUUAUUUUAUCCAUGAAAUUAAAUAAUUCCGAAAAUAAUAAAUCUCUAUUCUUUUUCCAAUGCUCAAGGCCCAUGUCUUUAAUUACUAAUGGGUUUUAAUAAUUAAUUAGACCUAUUAGUAAAGAUGGAGGUUACAACAUCAAUUAGUACCAUAUUGCUAGUUGAUGUAAUUGUAGAGAGUUUUUCUCCCUAUAUAUGUGUACCAAUCCCUGGGGCAAUGUACACCAAAACUACAUGAAAAAGAUCUUCUAGUCUGGAAAUUGCCUUGAGGCCAUCGUUGACACGCUUCUUGGCUGAACACCGCACGUAGCUCAGCCCUGGUCCAGCUUCAUCCUCCAGGCUGCACCAGCCGCACCUCAUCUAGGUCCAGCCCCGCACUGCAUGCAAGCCGGGCAUGCAUGAGGAUCGAUCAAGUAGGACAGCUUUUGGCUAUGGAAAGCACCAUCGGCAUUGUUCCAUCGAGAGGAGCGGCGGCCUCACAGCUCAUUUACAUCGGGACGAGGAGCUAGGGUCAAGGACAAUCUGGACUAGGAGCAAGGAGUUAAGAAAGGCUGAUGGCUUCACGUCACCCUCUAUGAUUGGUGAGAAAACUAAUCUGAUCAUUAUCUCUUUCGGUCUUGCCUGCACGAUAGUAUGCACGUUGGCCGGUGUCACAAUUCUGACCGAGAAGUGUUGGGAACAACAGCUAGAAGAUGGAGAUGUUGUCAGAUCACGAGAAGCAUCACGACAUGAAUAAGUCACGCGCUUACAUCUAAGCGAUCAAGGAGGGCAAUCACGCACCCGUAGGGUGGCCAUACGAGCGGAACAGAUGUGAACAGACAGGCCGCUGGUGCCAUGACGCCCGGUGUCCACAACACAAAAGCUGAAGGCACUUGCGGACUAAAGGUGUGGCCAUCUUGCUAGCUCCCAUAUUUACAAUUUAAUUUAUCUCCUAGGAUGCACUAAACAUGACCGUUUCUUCGUGUCAUAUGGUUGUGCAAUAUUUAGCCAUCCCUUCUAUUUCUAAAAUUCAAUCAUGAACUUUAUAUAUGCAUGCGAACUAUACCUUUCCAAUGUAAAAGCAAUACAUGACAAUCCCAAUCUUUCAUAAUUAAUUGUCAAAUUGGUUAAUGGAAACAUGGAUAUGUUUUUCAUAAUUUGCUCAAUUUAAACACGGGACAAACCUAACUCAUUAAAAUAUUCACAUGUUUACCUUCUUUUCAUGAAAGAAGUUUAUUUGCUUAUAAAUGAUUCUCAAAACAUUUAUAAUAAAAUAUGACUAGACCGAACUCUAGUUUCAUUAAAAAUAUAAUUUAACUAAGUUCAUAAUCGAGCACAUGAUUUUGUUCUAAUAAUAAUAAUAAUAAUAAUAAUAAUAAUAAUAAUAAUAAUAAUAAUAAUAUAUACGCCUAGUCUUUUCUUUUAUAUAAAACUUCUAGUUUCCAAACAUUUUUAUUGAUUGGUGUAUUGCUUUAAUUUAGUCAACUUUGUUUGUUAUGCAUGUCUGCUCGGAUGGUUGUGUGGUGCCUUAUGAUCUUGUCCAGUCGGUGAGAUAUACGUGCGACUCAGAAGUAGAUCUUUGAAGGUUUGGACUUGAAGAAGGAUCUGAGUUUAAGGCAAGUAUAGCAUGGGAUCAUCCUUGUUUCCUAUUAACUUUAAUCACACAAUUCAUAUUGCAUGUGUCUCCUUGAUAAGGAUUUCCUAGUAUUGAUCUUAUACCUUGUCACCUACGGUUUUGCAUUGGGUAGCUUAUGCUAGUGCUCCACUAAACCAUGAUCUUGUAAUUUGAUUAAAGGAAUAUGCAAUGAACAUUAAAAGAUUACUUUUUUGGCAACUUUGGAAAAGAGGGCUGGAGCAUUGGGCUAUCUUAUGGUGCUCUAGUUUCUCUCCAUAAGGACUUAUCUGUAUCUGACCAUCCGGGACAUACAGUACAACUGUGAGGGCUACAUGGCUCUGGCUUUAGCUCAGUAUGAGGACCUUUUCUAGCUUGUUAGUGGUUACCCUUGUGGCGCAAAUGGGGAAUAGCAGACCGUGGAUUCCUGCGGGUGAGUCACACGGACUGACUAACGAAACCUAGCGGCCCUAACUUGUUAGACGAACCUUUGAAAGGCUUCAUAGUGAACCUUACCGGCCUCCCUAGGAAGGGGGUUAAGAGACUCGCGACCUCGGGCGAAAGGGUAAAUCAUGACUCACAGUGAAAGUGUACAACCUCUGCAGAGUGUAAAACUGAUAUAUCAGCCGUGCUCACGGUCACGAGCGGCCUUGGACCAAUACAGAAUAAAUGAUCACUAAUGGCAAAUUAUUAAAGUUAUUGUUGUUAAUAUGUUGUUUAUGCUAUUCUUUAUUCAUUUUACCUGAUCAUGAGUUUACUUCGGGACUCGACAACUUGAUGCUACUCAUAUGCUAAAAUUGUGACAACUAAAAGCUACAUGCAGUUAAACCAGUGUCUAGCCUUUGAGCCUCAUGAACCCUAUGUUAUUCUUGUUGAGUACGAGAUGUACUUACGCUUGCCUUUAUAUUUUAUUUGGAUAAAAAUCCCGGAUGGGUACCAGAUUGCAAGCUUGGAAAAGAGUUUAGGCUUGUGCUCAACCAGUCAGUUGUCCCUGUGGAUUUGGAGCUUUCGCCUGAAGAACGGAGUGUCUUUCCGCUGUUUGCUAUCUAAGGUUAUAUCUUUUAUACUAAGUUCGUUACAUAUAAGCAUUGUCUAUUGAUAUUACCCCUAUUUGUGGCUAUAUGUGAGAUUUGACUUCCUGGGCUCACAUAUGGUGUGUAUCUGGUUUUGUUCUUAAAACUGGGUGCUACACUCGGCCAUCUUCAGCACGACUUCUUCGACCACGGCUAUUGUGCCCUUACGCUCGGCUACCUCAACAUUGGCAGAAAGGGCUACCACCUUGCAUGAGGACUCAUCGGCUUCUUCUCCAGCCACAGCAUACACGGCGCAUCGACUGCUAUGACUGCGGGGGAUGUUACUUAUCAUCUUCUUCUCCAGUCUUACCGUCUGUAGCGCUCCCGUUGUGACUGCGGGGGGAUGUUAGAGUAAAUAGGAAUCGUACCACAUUGUGUAUCCACAUAAAGUGUUAGUCCUAUGUACCCUAUAUAAUCAGCAUGUACCCUAUAUAAUCAGCCCAUGAGGCCCAAUGCAAUAUAUCAAAUAUUCCACCAAUUAUGUUCUCCUUCAAUGCCUUAUGCUGUUUAGCUUAAGUUUGUUAUGAUUGCCAAGACAUGUUACUUAAAAA